UUGCUAUCUGCGAUAUGGAAGAUUCGAACCUGCCGCAGGUUCGGGUCUCACGUAGUGAGACAACGGAGCCGCUUGCGGCGACGGCCCGAAGGGCGAGCAACGCGAGUCAUCCUGCACGACCCACCA
RNAcentral lists this small RNA (126 nucleotides) under Salmonella enterica subsp. enterica serovar Stanley. RNAcentral describes it as "RtT sRNA". It matches the Rfam family "RtT RNA". From Rfam's summary of the family: This family represents a bacterial cis-regulatory element known as RtT RNA. The exact function of RtT is unknown although it is thought that it may be involved in changing the cellular response in relation to amino acid starvation. Lineage: Bacteria; Pseudomonadati; Pseudomonadota; Gammaproteobacteria; Enterobacterales; Enterobacteriaceae. The record is from RNAcentral.